GCGAACGCAGGACGUAAGGCAACUUGGGGGAGGAAGCGCUCCCUCGCUUGGGCUCAGUUUUGGGGUCUCACUCCAUGGCUGCUUGGCCCCGCUGCUCUGGGUCGGGUGGCCCAGCACCUCAUGGGGGAGUGGGGAAGAGGUCAAGCUGGCAAAGUCCCCCCGAGGCCGAGCCCCAGUGACCCAGCUGCCUCCCCAGGCCCCACCUUCUGAGACCCCCAACAGGCUCGCUGGAGACUGCGCUUCUCACACACGGACUUUAGGGAAGGCCCAGGUGCGCACUGCGGCAGGAGUUGACAUGCAGCACACUUAAGGACAGGCAGAGAGAUGAAGGCAGGAUGCCGACCCUGGGCGCCGCAUGGAGCUGAGAGGAGCUGCAGUGCGGAGAAACGGGGACAGCCCAACGCCUGCAGGCCGGAGGGCAUCCGGGUUCCAGGGACCAGCAAGAGGAAGCAUUCGGUGACCCCUGCCACAACACUGUGCCGGGCACUGGGGACAUGGAAAGAGAAACCACUCGACAUCUAGGCUUGCGAAUCUACGUCCCUGAGCACUGUGGCCCAAGGCGCAUCCGUUUUCCUGCAGAUAACUCCAGUGCAGUUCUUCAGCUUCCUCUGCUCUGUCCCCCAACGUGGGCCUCCCCACUGGGUCCCCUGGCCACGCAAGGCCCUUGGAUGCAGCCCGCAGCGGCCCGCCUGUGUCCUGCCUCCGUGACCCCCAGGCCCCCUCCCCAGUGGGCAGGGGUUUCCUGCUCUCAGUGUCCAGAGCACUUGCUGGAUGCAAUCACUGUUCUUGGAAUGCGUCCUGUAAUUGGUCUUCCUGGGCACUUAAGUCUAAUGUCACCCACAUGAUCGCUUGAAUUGUAGAAAGCGCAGGCAUUUUAUUCACGCCCACGGAAGGAAGCAGAGGGACGAGACCUCGAGCCCAGCAAGCCUCGCCUGAGAUUCUGGACGUCGGUACCAGCAUGAGAAAUUCCCCGGGUUUGCAAAGCAGGCUGGCUGCCGGAAUCACCAGGGCUGGAG
This 1016-nucleotide long non-coding RNA is filed under the name Heterocephalus glaber (naked mole-rat). RNAcentral describes it as "lncRNA (ENSHGLG00000044124.1)". The record is from RNAcentral. Lineage: Eukaryota; Metazoa; Chordata; Mammalia; Rodentia; Bathyergidae.